UCUUCAUCAUCUUUAAAUAAAAAGGAUAAACAUGCAUUUCCAUUAUCUCAAGCAAACUUUCAAUACUGUGUGUUGCUUCUCUUAAAUGAGAUAAAAACCCAAGGAUGCAAAAAACUUUAUAUAAAAUAGUGUGAAGAAGAAGUAGUAACUGAAAUGAACAGCAUAAUAGAAUUUGAUAAGUUUGACUCAGCACUUGACAAUGUUUCAUCUAGUAACUCUGUAGUAUCUCUGCAGUUGUAAAUUGCUAAAUACUGAUUUGACAGUAUUUUUCUUUUUUUUUUAAUUUUCUUUACAAUAUAUAAUUUUUACUACUAAAUUAGGAAUUGUCAGAUUUCCAUUAUUUCUUUCUAUUAAAAACAAAGAGUUCAAAAUAUUGGUGGUAAGAACUGUCAAAAACUUGUGAUAGCUAUGAUGAAGAGUUUUAUGACAAAUUCACUCAUGGCCAAAUCUAAUAUGGCAGCUGGAAAAGGCAAAGGAUCUUUUUAGUCUAACCAAGCUAUACAACUUAAUAAAAGUUUGUGCAUCGACUUCUCACGAAUCAUACAGAGAGUCGAUUGUCGAUGCAAUAAUUACUGAUUCGUGAAAGCGGGCAACUUUUGCUUGUCUUAAAGUGCCUUAAAUCCAACAGAUAUCAUCGUUAUAAUAUUACUUUGUUUGUAAAUUGUUUUAAAAAAUAAAUUUAAAAAUAACUUUUAAA
Non-coding RNA from Hydra vulgaris (swiftwater hydra), 697 nucleotides. The record is from RefSeq and is a predicted model, not a curated record. NCBI's taxonomy places the organism in Eukaryota, Metazoa, Cnidaria, Hydrozoa, Anthoathecata, Hydridae.